UGGGAUAUUUAGGAGAAAAAGGAGGGUU
RNAcentral lists this non-coding RNA (28 nucleotides) under Homo sapiens (human). Lineage: Eukaryota; Metazoa; Chordata; Mammalia; Primates; Hominidae. The record is from RNAcentral.